AGUGAACGCUGGCGGUAGGCCUAACACAUGCAAGUCGAACGGCAGCACAGUAAGAGCUUGCUCUUACGGGUGGCGAGUGGCGGACGGGUGAGGAAUACAUCGGAAUCUACUUUUUCGUGGGGGAUAACGUAGGGAAACUUACGCUAAUACCGCAUACGACCUACGGGUGAAAGCAGGGGAUCUUCGGACCUUGCGCGACUGAAUGAGCCGAUGUCGGAUUAGCUAGUUGGCGGGGUAAAGGCCCACCAAGGCGACGAUCCGUAGCUGGUCUGAGAGGAUGAUCAGCCACACUGGAACUGAGACACGGUCCAGACUCCUACGGGAGGCAGCAGUGGGGAAUAUUGGACAAUGGGCGCAAGCCUGAUCCAGCCAUACCGCGUGGGUGAAGAAGGCCUUCGGGUUGUAAAGCCCUUUUGUUGGGAAAGAAAAGCAGCAGGUUAAUACCCCGCUGUUCUGACGGUACCCAAAGAAUAAGCACCGGCUAACUCCGUG
This 492-nucleotide ribosomal RNA is filed under the name uncultured bacterium. RNAcentral describes it as "partial 16S ribosomal RNA". It matches the Rfam family "Bacterial small subunit ribosomal RNA", at positions 29 to 507 of the family's 1533-position model. The record is from RNAcentral.